RNAcentral lists this ribosomal RNA (531 nucleotides) under uncultured bacterium. RNAcentral describes it as "bacterial SSU rRNA". It matches the Rfam family "Bacterial small subunit ribosomal RNA", at positions 981 to 1509 of the family's 1533-position model. The record is from RNAcentral.
UUGACAUACUAAGAACUUUCCAGAGAUGGAUUGGUGCCUUCGGGAACUUAGAUACAGGUGCUGCAUGGCUGUCGUCAGCUCGUGUCGUGAGAUGUUGGGUUAAAGUCCCCGCAACGAGCGCAACCCUUUUCCUUAUUUGCCAGCGGGUCAUGCCGGGAACUUUAAGGAUACUGCCAGUGACAAACUGGAGGAAGGCGGGGACGACGUCAAGUCAUCAUGGCCCUUACGGCCAGGGCUACACACGUGCUACAAUGGUCGGUACAAAGGGUUGCUACCUCGCGAGAGGAUGCUAAUCUCAAAAAGCCGAUCGUAGUCCGGAUCGCAGUCUGCAACUCGACUGCGUGAAGUCGGAAUCGCUAGUAAUCGCGGAUCAGAAUGCCGCGGUGAAUACGUUCCCGGGCCUUGUACACACCGCCCGUCACACCAUGGGAGUUUGUUGCACCAGAAGUAGGUAGUCUAACCGCAAGGAGGACGCUUACCACGGUGUGGCCGAUGACUGGGGUGAAGUCGUAACAAGGUAGGCGUAGAUGA